GCACUUGGAGGAUGUAUGGCAAUAGCUAGUUGCAUUGACAAAUAGUUAGUGCAAGAUCGACUAUGUCGAAUAAAGUUCUAGGUAGUAUUAUGAUAAUGACAUUAUCUAUCUAUGUGUCUUGACCAAAUUACGUGCCAGCAGUCGCGGUAAUACGUAAAAGACUAGUGUUAUUCAUCUUUAAUAGGUUUAAAGGGUACUUAGACGGUAGAUCAAGCCCCAAGUGGGUACUAAUAUACUAGAGUUUGAUAUAAGGAAGUUUUAAAGUACUGUUGGUGUAGAGAUGAAAUUCUGUCAUACCAAUUAUGGCACAGGUAUAGGCGAAAGCAUCUUCUUAUGUAAUAACUGACGUUGAAGGACGAAGGCUUUGUGUCUCGAACAGGAUUAGAUACCCUAGUAGUCUAAGCAGACAACAAUGAAUGUCAUAGAUUAGAUAUAAUUUGUUCUAUAAAUGAAAGUGUAAGCAUUCCACCUCGAGAGUAAUUUGGCAACAUUGGAACUGAAAUCAUUAGACCGUUUCUGAAACCAGUAGUGAAGUAUGUUGUUUAAUUAGAUAGCACGCAAAAAACCUUACCACAAUUUGAAUAUAUAUAUUAUUAUACAAGCGUUGCACGGCUGUCUUUAGUUAAUGUCGUGAGAUUUUGGUUAGUUCCAUUAAAUUAACGUAAACCCUUACUUUAUUUAUCGAUAAAGUAGUUCACCGCUAGAUUGUAUAUGAUAAGAGGGAUUAAGUCAAGUCAUCAUGACCUUAAUAUUGUGG
Molecule: ribosomal RNA, 757 nt
Filed under: Poeltidea sp. 1 UR-2019
Lineage: Eukaryota; Fungi; Ascomycota; Lecanoromycetes; Lecideales; Lecideaceae
Description: SSU rRNA
Rfam family: Bacterial small subunit ribosomal RNA
Source: RNAcentral